GGAUGCGAUCAUACCAGCACUAAAGCAUCGGAUCCCAUCAGAACUCCGAAGUUAAGCGUGCUUGGGCGAGAGUAGUACUAGGAUGGGUGACCUCCUGGGAAGUCCUCGUGUUGCAUUCU
Molecule: ribosomal RNA, 119 nt
Filed under: Triticum aestivum (bread wheat)
Lineage: Eukaryota; Viridiplantae; Streptophyta; Magnoliopsida; Poales; Poaceae
Also listed under: 1 other name
Source: RNAcentral